This 440-nucleotide ribosomal RNA is filed under the name uncultured bacterium. RNAcentral's name for it is "bacterial SSU rRNA". It matches the Rfam family "Bacterial small subunit ribosomal RNA", at positions 338 to 795 of the family's 1533-position model. The record is from RNAcentral.
CCUACGGGAGGCAGCAGUGGGGAAUAUUGGACAAUGGGGGAAACCCUGAUCCAGCAAUGCCGCGUGAGUGAUGAAGGCCUUCGGGUUGUAAAGCUCUUUCGCCCACGACGAUGGUGACGGUAGUGGGAGAAGAAGCCCCGGCUAACUUCGUGCCAGCAGCCGCGGUAAUACGAAGGGGGCUAGCGUUGUUCGGAGUUACUGGGCGUAAAGGGCGCGUAGGCGGCCGUCCCAGUCAGAUGUGAAAGCCCGGGGCUCAACCCCGGAUGUGCAUUUGAUACUGGAUGGCUUGAGGAUGGGAGAGGAUGGUGGAAUUCCCAGUGUAGAGGUGAAAUUCGUAGAUAUUGGGAAGAACACCGGUGGCGAAGGCGGCCAUCUGGACCAUUUCUGACGCUGAGGCGCGAAAGCGUGGGGAGCAAACAGGAUUAGAUACCCCAGUAGUC